GAACAGAUCAUAUGGGGUCAAUGGGCGAUUAAGAAGGCCCAUGGCCUAGGUUGGUGACUUUCAUUGCACUUUGAAAGGGUGGCCGCCUAAGGUCAGUCCAAGUGGUUGUGCCUACGUCGUAGUUAUUGCUGACCGGGCCUGCAUUUGUGUGGCCCCACC
This 159-nucleotide small nuclear RNA is filed under the name Nicotiana attenuata. Its description in RNAcentral is "snRNA U1". It matches the Rfam family "U1 spliceosomal RNA". From Rfam's summary of the family: U1 is a small nuclear RNA (snRNA) component of the spliceosome (involved in pre-mRNA splicing). Lineage: Eukaryota; Viridiplantae; Streptophyta; Magnoliopsida; Solanales; Solanaceae. The record is from Rfam by way of RNAcentral.